This 464-nucleotide ribosomal RNA is filed under the name Vreelandella stevensii. Its description in RNAcentral is "partial 16S ribosomal RNA". It matches the Rfam family "Bacterial small subunit ribosomal RNA", at positions 338 to 795 of the family's 1533-position model. Lineage: Bacteria; Pseudomonadati; Pseudomonadota; Gammaproteobacteria; Oceanospirillales; Halomonadaceae. The record is from RNAcentral.
CCUACGGGCGGCUGCAGUGGGGAAUAUUGGACAAUGGGCGAAAGCCUGAUCCAGCCAUGCCGCGUGUGUGAAGAAGGCCUUCGGGUUGUAAAGCACUUUCAGUGGGGAAGAAAGCCUUGGGGCUAAUACCCUCGAGGACGGACAUCACCCACAGAAGAAGCACCGGCUAACUCCGUGCCAGCAGCCGCGGUAAUACGGAGGGUGCGAGCGUUAAUCGGAAUUACUGGGCGUAAGCGCGCGUAGGCGGUCUGAUAAGCCGGUUGUGAAAGCCCCGGGCUCAACCUGGGAACGGCAUCCGGAACUGUCAGGCUAGAGUGCAGGAGAGGAAGGUAGAAUUCCCGGUGUAGCGGUGAAAUGCGUAGAGAUCGGGAGGAAUACCAGUGGCGAAGGCGGCCUUCUGGACUGACACUGACGCUGAGGUGCGAAAGCGUGGGUAGCAAACAGGAUUAGAUACCCCUGUAGUC